This 1958-nucleotide small RNA is filed under the name Drosophila ananassae. Its description in RNAcentral is "GF28025". The record is from RNAcentral. Lineage: Eukaryota; Metazoa; Arthropoda; Insecta; Diptera; Drosophilidae.
UUGGCCAAGAAACUGGUAGCGUCUGGUGUGGCGAGCCAACAAAAGGCUGGCAGCGUGGCCAACACCGGACUUGGACCCGGAUCCGGCAAUCGCUAUCCGGGUCCAUGUCCACGUCCACGCUGCGGCUGCCAAUUGAGCGGAGUUGAGUUUGAGUUUGUGCUUGAAUUUGACGCGUAGCCAGCCAAGAAAAGUGGCCAGCCAACAACAAGGUGACGCAGGAUGUGGCCAAAAGCACCAGAAGGGAAGAUGCAGACCUACAGCGGAUGGAGGUGGAGGUGGAGGAGUGCACUUUUUGGCCACGGUCCGCAUUUGAUUAGCCAACUCAAACACAUCAGGGCCAAGAUCAGGGCAGCAAAAAAAACAAACAACCGCAACCUGAUGGCCCAUUGACAGCUCCCUGUCUCUCUCCGGCACACACCCACACCCGGACACCACUAACACACACACACACACAUUCGUCGUAUGUAGCAUGGAUGUGCCACAGUGAAGCCCGGGCAGUAGUGAACACCUGACGCUGUCCAAACUGAUACUCGCGUCCGUCUCAAUUAUACAGCAAAUAAGAAGUAAAACAAACAAUUAAAUAAAAAACGAGUAUUGCUUCGCAGCUGACAACAACAGCAACAACAACCAGUUGCUCUGCGGUGUAAAAGUGUGUGUAUUCGCGCGCAUGUAUGUGUGUGUGUGUGAGUGUGUGACGGCGUGGAAACUGACCAUCGUUUGGUGCCAAAACAAAAAAGGAGAGAGAUCCUGUCCAAAAAGUAACCCUGGCUCGGACCCAAAACAACGGAAACAACAACAGCCAUGAUUUGGCAAGUCGAUUGUUUCAUCUGGCCAGGCUUAAUGAAAGGACUCGUACUUGUCCUGACCAUCAGCACGUCAAGCGAGGCAAACGCCAGCGAAGCCUCAAAGGAUAAGCAUCUCCAGCACCAUCGGAGGGUGACUCCAGAAAAUAUUUCCCAAAAUAUUCCAACUGGAGAAACCAUUCAAAAUACUUGGAAUUUUGGAGUACCACCAUCAACUCCAAAAACUGCAAUUUCGAAGAAAAAAAAUACAAAAAAAUUUAAAAAAAAAAAAUAUUCGAAAGCAAUUUUCCAUCAAAAGGAGCCUUAACAACUACAGCCCCAAUUAUAUAAAUAAACCCAAAUAUUCAGUAAUAUACUUAGUUCCACAACUAUAAACAAUAAUCGCCUAUGAUAUAACCAUAAAAUAUCCAAAGAAACAAUAACUCCACAGAUACUAUAUAGCCCUUUGAAAUAUGACUCAAUAAUAGUUGCAUAAGCCGUAGAAAUAUGGUACAAAAUAAUACGUGAAUAACUCAAAGUCAAAAGGGUUAUAGCGCAAAACAAUUAUAUUUUAUUAAUGAACACUUCAAAGCAAUAUAAAUAUAAUACUGUAAAAUAAUAAACCGGCUCAUGGUGAUUUGUGGCAAGGUCAAAGUGGAAGAUGCUAAACCAUUAUCAGGAAAAAAAGUGGAGCCGUGGAGAGCAUCUGAACGAGGAAAAGUGCCGGAAAAUGCAACUAAUGGCCUAAAGGAAGCCUCGUUGGCCAAUUGAGGAGGAGAACCUGAAAAGUCGAGCCGAAUUGCCGUUGCAACCGCCGAAGGCCUUACCAACCAAUGGCGACGCACAGCGGCAACGAAGCCCGGCCAGAUGGAAGGGGUAUUACCGGGAAACGGAUUUGAGCAAAGCGCCCAAGCAAGCUUUGCAGCUAGGAAUGCAAUUCUUGGCAACGUGACAAGCAGCCCCGCAAGGAGUCCACUCACACACACAAUCCAGCAAACGAAGUUUUCCGCUUGGCUCACACGUCGUAUGAGUAAUAUAUCCCGUAUACGCCUGUUGGCCGGGCAGAAAAUUUUCAACAACAGUUUGUGUGUGUUUGUGGGCCGAAGGGUUGCCGAAAGGAGUGUUGCCAACUGCAUUCUCGGCUGCCGGCUAUAUAGUUUGCGCAACUCCUGACCC